Non-coding RNA from Megalopta genalis, 2911 nucleotides. Lineage: Eukaryota; Metazoa; Arthropoda; Insecta; Hymenoptera; Halictidae. The record is from RefSeq and is a predicted model, not a curated record.
CGCUUCCAAGUUGUGUGCGUGUGCGUGUGUGUGUACCACCUUUGCGAUGAUAGAUUUAUCGAAAUUUAACUACGUACGUGUAACUUAACAUGUGCGUAGAAUGAUCAUUUGACGGUAAAUUUUACGAUCUUUCUAUGCUCUACAUCAGAAAAUUUCAUGAAAUUCUAUUCUGCUGAUCUACGUGUUACACUUGUGCGUACGACUAUAUACUUGGACGAUAGAGUGCGCACUGCCAUCUUGAUAGAUUGAACAGGAACAGGUGUCCUGCAAAAAUGUACUGUCCACGAGGGACAAACGAGACGGGAGUACCGGAAUAGAAUACGAGUACGGACUAGACAACAAACAGACAAUAGGUGUCCCCGCUAUCUCAACCCAAUCACGAUUUUUCCAGCACGGAAAACAUAAUGCACUUUAAACCAUGUAUGCAUGAUUGAUGUCUACGGGAGGCAAAGAGGAGACGAGACAAGAGACAAUCGGAGACAACCGGUGUCCCCACCAUUGUGUUCCAUGAUUUGUAGCAACUGCACCGUCAGGUCCAACAUAAUCGUAGUUGAGCAUACGCCGCAACGUUUCAGCUUGUUUGCCAACGAAGAGGAGAUUUUUGGUGGACUACAUUUCUCCGUCUAGACUACGUUUGCUCAAGUUCUUCGAACAUUUACUCGCGCCGAAACAAAUUCACGGAUCGAUAAAACUGCGAGUUUCCUGGAUUCUACGAAAUACGAAAUACGAAAAACCGUGAAAUCGUACGCACGUAUUGCGACACGGGACUCGGAGCUCGGGACUCGGAGCUCGGGACUCGGAGCUCGGGACUCGGAACUCGGAUCUCGGAUCUCGGGACCGCGCAAAAGAUAUUGCAACCCUCCGCGAUGUCGUAAUCGCUUUCGCACAAUUUCACGGUAUAAUAUCGAUAACGACUAAUCUCCUAAUAACUUUAGGCUUUCCAAGGCUGUCACCGCGUUAUCCCAGGAACGUCUGAGCAACCGCGGGCAAAUAUGUCGAUCGACCGGUAACUUUUAAGCCCCGAUGAUAAUCGAAACGCGAAAGACGGACACCGAUCGAUCAAGUUCGACGUGCACGUGUCGACGCGAAUCAAUAAAUUACGAAUACGCCAGCCCGUUGCGCGUGUCGAACGGAUUCCAGCAUUUUGGAAGAAUAGUUUCGAAGAGAAUACGUUCUCGCGUUACCGAUACCGAUCGAUUAUGAAACAACGAUUUCGACGCGACGGUACGGCCGUCCGAUAACGUUAGCUCGCCGAGCAGGAUCGAUGUUUUGAGAAAACACGAAACGAUUUGCGUCGCGCGAGGACGAAUACAGCGAAAUUUUCAUUAACGUUCGAACGUUAAUUCGUGUCGCGGAAGGCUCGCUCGACGGUGCAAAAUGCGAGUGCACGCGUAAGUCGCGCGUAAUCCGCAGUUACCAUCGUGAUUCGAGCUUUACCGAAAAACGUUGCGAAACGAGAAACCGAACGAGCAACGGACGAAAGCAACGAGCAAUAAAACGGGUAACCAACCCCGACCGGUAACCAGCAACGAGGAAUACAAAAAUAAGUGGAAAACUUUCGGCGAAGAGAAACGAAUCGCGAGGGUGCGCCGGUUCCGGGGAGAGACGCGCGUUCGACUUUUGUCGGUGACGCGGGGUGAACGGCGGCGCGGCCGGCACGACCGGCACGACCGGCACGACCGGCACGACCGGCACGACGGUCCGCGCGUCGUUGUCCAGCGAUUUCGAAUCGGACAGGGAAUUCGGCCGGGCUCGUUCGAAUCGGGAGCAUCGGCGAAUCGAGUACGGGCCGAACGACGACGGGAACGUUUCGCCGCGGAAAAGGGUAAGCGAAUAUCGGUUCGGGAUCUAUCGCCGCGAUAGAGAGACCCCCGGUAUCUGGCGGAGCGUCUGGAAAAGCGAGCGAUUCUCGAGAUGCGCACGGACGAUUAGGGUAUCGGAGCGGCGGGGACCCGCCGUUGGUCGGCGGUGCACACGAGGGAGGGGCCUGCAUCGGAGUCCAGGAACGAUACCGAAGCCGAAGCCGAAGCCGAAGCCGAAGCCGAGGCCGAAUGGCGCAGUGUUGGCCGGUGCGCGGCGCGAAACAGGUGAUAGAGUCGCGGUCGCGGUGCAUCGGGAAAUGACAGAUCGGAUAGGCCGAUUUUCGUUCGGUUCCCGCUCGGCGAUCAAAAUUUAACCCGCUCCUCCUCCUCCUCCUCCUCCUCCUCCUCCUCCUCGGUUCUCGCGACCAGUUUAAUAUUCCACGACCGUCCCGUGUCGCGCGUCCGAACUUUCGAUUCGACCGCCGAGACCUUGUUUCGCUCGACUCGCUUCGACUCGCGAGAACGCGAUCGAAUCGAAAUUGACGAAAGGUCGCUUCGCCGCGUCGCGACUAUGACGUUCUCGUCGAAUCUCGUUUCUUUACCGAGACCAGCUUCGACACGGUCGAGCGACCACCGCGAGUUCUUUUAACGCGGUCUUUGCGUCGAGUCGGUAAUUUUCGACUGUUCUCUCCCACCAACGCGCCGAACGCUCGCACGACUCGCGCGCGAUACGCGAUAAACCCGAACGGAAAAUCGAGGCACGUACCGCCGCGGUGCAUCGAGAUCUCGUUCUCGCUUUCGAAUCCUCCGAGUCCUCCGAGUCUCUUCGACUUUUGCCGGGUCUCGUUGUCCGGCGCGCGUUGAAAAUUCCACGAUACCGGAAACUCGCCGGCCGAAUGUACGCGUUUCUACCGCAAGCCCGACGUCGGAGCGCAAACAGGAAUCACGAGUAGUCUCUCGCAUCACGAGUAGCCGAGGAGUGCCGCUUCGAGGGGAACGUUGCUCGCGUUUCUACCUCGAAGGUGAGGAAAGGAUUCGGCUUCGUUGAACGAGCCACGAGCCACGAGCCACGAGCCACGAGCCACGAGCCACGAGCCACGAGUCACCGA